UGUGGAUCCAAAUCGAUUCUUCACUGAACGAAGUAAACGAUGAGAUGAACACUUCUCUCCUUCCAUAUAGAGAACAACAUCAACUAUGUGUUCCAAGACUCGAGGACCAGCUAUUUCUCCAGAUUUAGUCACAUGUCCAAUCAGAAACACAGGGAUAUUGGUCUUCUUGGCAAACCGCAGCAACACUUCUGUGCAUUCUUUUACCUGCGAUAGACCACCUGCACUUCCAGUUACUCCUCUCAGAUAUACUGUCUGGAUGGAAUCAAUUACCAAAGCUCGCAGUGGGAGAGUUUGGGUCUUUUCCAAAAUAUCCUCAACAUCUGUACUCGCAUAUAAAAAUAGUUCAUCUGUCCCGAUUCUCAUCCGAUCUGCUCUGUUCCCAAUUUGCUCAAUACUCUCUUCCCCAGACACAUAGAGAACUGGUGCUGGUCCCCCCAUAUCACACCCCUCUGCAACUAUGGCUGCAAUCUGUAAAAGUAAUGUGCUCUUACCAACACCCGGAUCACCGCCAAUUAAAACUAAGCAACCUGGCACAAGACCACCACCAAGUACUCUUCCUACUUCAGCUCCAAAAAGGCCAGACAGAGGUAUUCGCCAAUUCGAUUGAUUAAUCCCCUUAUUCACAUCCGUCAAUUUCGUGGGCAAAGCUCUAACAGACUGAUGAGGCAGCCACGACCUUGUCACAUUCUCUAAAACCUCAAACCCACUCGUGAGAUGCUCUACACCUUCAGAAAACCGCUUCAUAGUAUUCACCCCAUUACACUGCUUACAUAUCCCCCACCACUGUCCAUCAUCAUACCCACAAUCAGAACACACCCACACUGUUUUACUCUUGCCUUUCCCCUUCUUCUUGUUCCCAUUCCCUGUAACCUCAUAAACCCUACUCUUUGAACCCAAAACAUUGGAGUAAUUUGCACUCGAUUUAGACUCCCUUUGCGGAACAUUCUCACCACUAGGGUUUUCUCUAGCAGCUGAAGGAGCGGCCCAGCCCUGUACGGCGUCGUUGGUGAGAGCUGUGGACUCUUCAGGGAAGUGUUUCCGGCGAGUAAAGUGAAACUGGCGAGAAGUGUUUAUGAUAGUGAAACGGAGAGAUGAAAGGGGGUUCGUUGGGGGGAGAUUGAGCAAGUGUUUUUGGAAACGGAGAGCUCUUAGUGCUUGCAUGUUUGGUACUUGCAUUUACAGAGAAAAUGGAGGAUUCCGGGAGUUUUAUAGGCG
RNAcentral lists this unclassified non-coding RNA (1215 nucleotides) under Hevea brasiliensis (rubber tree). The record is from RNAcentral. Lineage: Eukaryota; Viridiplantae; Streptophyta; Magnoliopsida; Malpighiales; Euphorbiaceae.